GCGGACGUGGCGAAACUGGUAGACGCAAGAGACUUAAAAUCUUUCGGAGCAAUCCGUGCGGGUUCGAGCCCCGCCGUCCGCACCA
RNAcentral lists this transfer RNA (85 nucleotides) under Allorhizobium borbori. Its description in RNAcentral is "tRNA-Leu". It matches the Rfam family "tRNA". From Rfam's summary of the family: Transfer RNA (tRNA) molecules are approximately 80 nucleotides in length. Their secondary structure includes four short double-helical elements and three loops (D, anti-codon, and T loops). The record is from RNAcentral. RNAcentral also lists the same sequence under 1 other name. Lineage: Bacteria; Pseudomonadati; Pseudomonadota; Alphaproteobacteria; Hyphomicrobiales; Rhizobiaceae.